GCUGUGUUGUAAGAUCCUGGCUUUUUCUGCAUCUGGGAUUCUUCCCUUCGUACUUAAUGCCGCGGUGGGUGGACCGAGUACUUUCAUGACCAUUGAAGAAAUUUGAAUACAGAUGGACUGAAUAUUAGAUAAAAACUGUAUUGCCAUGGAAAGGUGGAGAUCAUUAACUGAAAAGAACAAGUCACAGAACACUGUCCUGGUCUGGAGGCUCUCCCUUGCCUCUCUACCCCUGUGCACUCUUCCCCUCUUCUAAUGUCAAGCAUCUUCUCGAACUGCAGG
This is a non-coding RNA of Microcebus murinus (gray mouse lemur), 279 nucleotides long. The record is from RefSeq and is a predicted model, not a curated record. Lineage: Eukaryota; Metazoa; Chordata; Mammalia; Primates; Cheirogaleidae.